GAAGCUUAGGAUAGUUUAAACCGAAGGCCUUCAAAGCCUUAAACAAGAGUUAGACCCUCUUAGUUUCUG
Molecule: transfer RNA, 69 nt
Filed under: Eopsaltria georgiana
Lineage: Eukaryota; Metazoa; Chordata; Aves; Passeriformes; Petroicidae
Also listed under: 1 other name
Description: tRNA-Trp
Rfam family: tRNA
About the family: Transfer RNA (tRNA) molecules are approximately 80 nucleotides in length. Their secondary structure includes four short double-helical elements and three loops (D, anti-codon, and T loops). Further hydrogen bonds mediate the characteristic L-shaped molecular structure. tRNAs have two regions of fundamental functional importance: the anti-codon, which is responsible for specific mRNA codon recognition, and the 3' end, to which the tRNAs corresponding amino acid is attached (by aminoacyl-tRNA synthetases). tRNAs cope with the degeneracy of the genetic code in two manners: having more than one tRNA (with a specific anti-codon) for a particular amino acid; and 'wobble' base-pairing, i.e. permitting non-standard base-pairing at the 3rd anti-codon position.
Source: RNAcentral